Molecule: ribosomal RNA, 484 nt
Filed under: uncultured bacterium
Lineage: Bacteria
Description: partial 16S ribosomal RNA
Rfam family: Bacterial small subunit ribosomal RNA
Source: RNAcentral
AUUGAACGCUGGCGGCAGGCCUAACACAUGCAAGUCGAGCGGAUGAAGGGAGCUUGCUCCUGGAUUCAGCGGCGGACGGGUGAGUAAUGCCUAGGAAUCUGCCUGGUAGUGGGGGAUAACGUCCGGAAACGGGCGCUAAUACCGCAUACGUCCUGAGGGAGAAAGUGGGGGAUCUUCGGACCUCACGCUAUCAGAUGAGCCUAGGUCGGAUUAGCUAGUUGGUGGGGUGAAGGCCUACCAAGGCGACGAUCCGUAACUGGUCUGAGAGGAUGAUCAGUCACACUGGAACUGAGACACGGUCCAGACUCCUACGGGAGGCAGCAGUGGGGAAUAUUGGACAAUGGGCGAAAGCCUGAUCCAGCCAUGCCGCGUGUGUGAAGAAGGUCUUCGGAUUGUAAAGCACUUUAAGUUGGGAGGAAGGGCAGUAAGUUAAUACCUUGCUGUUUAGACGUUACCAACAGAAUAAGCACCGGCUAACUUCGUG